This 127-nucleotide non-coding RNA is filed under the name Streptantibioticus cattleyicolor NRRL 8057 = DSM 46488. Its description in RNAcentral is "Streptomyces cattleya NRRL 8057 Streptomyces RNA 4115". It matches the Rfam family "Streptomyces RNA 4115". From Rfam's summary of the family: Identified by deep sequencing of transcriptome at the end of exponential growth phase. The record is from Rfam by way of RNAcentral. Lineage: Bacteria; Bacillati; Actinomycetota; Actinomycetes; Kitasatosporales; Streptomycetaceae.
GCGUGGGUCGGCCCCCGUCGAAACUGCGGCUUCGGACAAUUCGGCGGAGGCCAGGGGACACCGUCGCCUCAUUCCCCGCGGGCGGCGGAUCCGGUCCGGGGGGCGUGCCGACGCCCCCCGGACCGAU